AGGUUGGGGUGACCUCGGAGUACAAAACAACCUCCGAAUGAUUUCUAAUCAAGACUAACCAGUCAAAAGUAUUACAUCAUUAAUUGAUCCAAAACUAUUUGAUCAACGGAACAAGUUACCCUAGGGAUAACAGCGC
Molecule: ribosomal RNA, 136 nt
Filed under: Paradoxurus hermaphroditus (Asian palm civet)
Lineage: Eukaryota; Metazoa; Chordata; Mammalia; Carnivora; Viverridae
Description: partial 16S ribosomal RNA
Source: RNAcentral